AUGGACUCGUGCUCGCCAUCGCAGUCUGUCGCCCUGGCCACGGAGAGGGCCAAGAUCCAUGGAGCUGCUCGUGGGGUGAGCAUAUCGUCCUCGUGCUCCUCAAUUCUGCUGGGGUAUCGUUUGGGCCGGGUGGCAGAGAUGGCGAAUUCCUCCUCGGGUGUCUCAGGGCCAGAGCAAGUCGCCAGGACCGGAUCUGCACCGAUGGGGUAUAAAACCCAGGAUCAAGGGCAUGUAGCAUGUACUAUUCCUCGACCUCCACCUGCGAUUGCCACCGGCUUGUCCAUGGAGAACCUCAUGAGCAAGGGCAAGGGCGCCAUGAGUGAAAAGGAGGCCAUGGUCCCGACGCCCAGAGUGGGGGCCGUCGGGGAUGCUGCUGAUCCCAAGCUUCCUGCCAUCAUCUGCGGGCAGAUCAAGGAGGCUGUGGAACUAGACCUGUCUGCGGAGAAGGCGGCAAUGCGCACCCACUGGAUCGCAGUGGGCCUCUUCUUCUCGCCACAAGCCUUCGGCACUGAAGGUUUGUUCCGAGAGAUGAAGAGCAAGUGGGGCUUGAGGGGACGGCUGACCUACUCCCCACUCAAGAACAACCGCUACCUGAUGGAGUUUGAGCGGGAAGGAGAUCGCCGGCACAUCCUCAACAACGGCCCCUGGACUCACAAGGGAGAUGCUUUCCUGAUGGUGGUAGUGGAUGGUAGCCAGAGACCGGCUGAUGUUGAAGUCGCUCACAUGCCAAUAUGGGUACGUGUUCACGACACUCCUCCCAUCAUGAUGUCAGAAAGAGUUGCAUGGAAGGUGGGUGCAGAGCUAGGAGAGGUCCUGGCUGUGGACUGUGACAAGGAAGCAGCAAUGCGUGCCUCCCCUGCUAAGCAUAGCUCUAGUAGAAGGGGAUAUGUGGAUCCAAAUGUCAGCAGAACUCGCAGGUUCCUCCAAUUUGGGCAGGAGAUGUUCGGCAAGGAGGUGCAUGUCUACCCAAAGCAAGCCAAAGCAAGGCUCAUGGCGGUCCCUGAAGAAAUCAUGGCAAACCCAAUGGUGCAAGAGGCAAUAGCGGCGGUGAGUGCUCUGAAGGUUACUGAGGAAGGAGGCAGCGAUCAGCAGGGUAGGAAGGGGAACACAGCAGAGAAGCCAAUCCAGGAGACCGUCCCAGCUGAAUUAGCGGCACCAAACAAGCAGAUGCAGGUGGAUGGGAAGGAGGUGGAAGAGACAGCAGUGAAAACAGGACCUGGGAAGACGAUGUUGAACUCUGAACAGUUCGCCGCAGCAAAAGCUAAGGAUGACAAUGGCAGUGGACCACUCUUCCCUCCAGGCUUUGGCCCAUUACCUUAG
Molecule: ribosomal RNA, 1320 nt
Filed under: Triticum aestivum (bread wheat)
Lineage: Eukaryota; Viridiplantae; Streptophyta; Magnoliopsida; Poales; Poaceae
Description: partial small subunit ribosomal RNA
Source: RNAcentral